RNAcentral lists this small nucleolar RNA (66 nucleotides) under Toxocara canis (dog roundworm). RNAcentral's name for it is "Small nucleolar RNA SNORD2". It matches the Rfam family "Small nucleolar RNA SNORD2". The record is from Rfam by way of RNAcentral. Lineage: Eukaryota; Metazoa; Nematoda; Chromadorea; Rhabditida; Toxocaridae.
GCGUGCGAUGAUGGUAUACCAUCUUUCGGGUCUGAGUAUGAUGACACCCAAUCACACUGAGCACGC